RNAcentral lists this ribosomal RNA (750 nucleotides) under uncultured bacterium. RNAcentral describes it as "bacterial SSU rRNA". It matches the Rfam family "Bacterial small subunit ribosomal RNA", at positions 41 to 753 of the family's 1533-position model. The record is from RNAcentral.
GGGGGGGCUAAAACUGCAGUCGAGCGAGCUUGCCUAGAUGAUUUUAGUGCUUGCACUAAAUGAAACUAGAUACAAGCGAGCGGCGGACGGGUGAGUAACACGUGGGUAACCUGCCCAAGAGACUGGGAUAACACCUGGAAACAGAUGCUAAUACCGGAUAACAACACUAGACGCAUGUCUAGAGUUUGAAAGAUGGUUCUGCUAUCACUCUUGGAUGGACCUGCGGUGCAUUAGCUAGUUGGUAAGGUAACGGCUUACCAAGGCAAUGAUGCAUAGCCGAGUUGAGAGACUGAUCGGCCACAUUGGGACUGAGACACGGCCCAAACUCCUACGGGAGGCAGCAGUAGGGAAUCUUCCACAAUGGACGAAAGUCUGAUGGAGCAACGCCGCGUGAGUGAAGAAGGGUUUCGGCUCGUAAAGCUCUGUUGGUAGUGAAGAAAGAUAGAGGUAGUAACUGGCCUUUAUUUGACGGUAAUUACUUAGAAAGUCACGGCUAACUACGUGCCAGCAGCCGCGGUAAUACGUAGGUGGCAAGCGUUGUCCGGAUUUAUUGGGCGUAAAGCGAGUGCAGGCGGUUCAAUAAGUCUGAUGUGAAAGCCUUCGGCUCAACCGGAGAAUUGCAUCAGAAACUGUUGAACUUGAGUGCAGAAGAGGAGAGUGGAACUCCAUGUGUAGCGGUGGAAUGCGUANAUAUAUGGAAGAACACCAGUGGCGAAGGCGGCUCUCUGGUCUGCAACUGACGCUGAGGCU